This 252-nucleotide ribosomal RNA is filed under the name uncultured bacterium. RNAcentral describes it as "partial 16S ribosomal RNA". It matches the Rfam family "Bacterial small subunit ribosomal RNA", at positions 524 to 775 of the family's 1533-position model. The record is from RNAcentral.
UACGUAGGAGGCAAGCGUUGUCCGGAAUCACUGGGCGUAAAGCGCGUGUAGGCGGUCGCGCAAGUCUGCUGUGAAAGCGCCCCGCUUAACGGGGCGAGGUCGGCGGAAACUGCGGGACUCGAGGACGGUAGAGGGGGGUGGAAUUCCCGGUGUAGUGGUGAAAUGCGUAGAGAUCGGGAGGAACACCUGUGGCGAAGGCGGCCCCCUGGGCCGCUCCUGACGCUGAGACGCGAAGGCGCGGGGAGCGAACGG